This 440-nucleotide ribosomal RNA is filed under the name Leifsonia sp. 1c. Its description in RNAcentral is "SSU rRNA". It matches the Rfam family "Bacterial small subunit ribosomal RNA", at positions 13 to 452 of the family's 1533-position model. Lineage: Bacteria; Bacillati; Actinomycetota; Actinomycetes; Micrococcales; Microbacteriaceae. The record is from RNAcentral.
UUGAUCAUGGCUCAGGACGAACGCUGGCGGCGUGCUUAACACAUGCAAGUCGAACGAUGAACCAGGAGCUUGCUCUUGGGGAUUAGUGGCGAACGGGUGAGUAACACGUGAGUAACCUGCCCUUGACUCUGGGAUAACCUCCGGAAACGGAAGCUAAUACCGGAUACGAACUGCGAAGGCAUCUUCAGCAGUUGGAAAGAACUUCGGUCAAGGAUGGACUCGCGGCCUAUCAGGUAGUUGGUGAGGUAACGGCCCACCAAGCCUACGACGGGUAGCCGGCCUGAGAGGGUGACCGGCCACACUGGGACUGAGACACGGCCCAGACUCCUACGGGAGGCAGCAGUGGGGAAUAUUGCACAAUGGGCGCAAGCCUGAUGCAGCAACGCCGCGUGAGGGACGACGGCCUUCGGGUUGUAAACUCUUUUAGUAGGGAAGAAGCG